This 460-nucleotide long non-coding RNA is filed under the name Carica papaya (papaya). Its description in RNAcentral is "long non-coding RNA (CPAP_LNC007692)". Lineage: Eukaryota; Viridiplantae; Streptophyta; Magnoliopsida; Brassicales; Caricaceae. The record is from RNAcentral.
GUACUAGGAUAACUAUUGAGAUAGAACUGCUUCCCAGCAUAGGAUAAUAUAGUGCCUAUCAAGUAUGUCAUUUGGCUUUAAAACAAUCAAUAGAAAAUGAAAAAGGUUGUUUAUUAAUGUAAGUGGUAGGCCUAAGUUCUUACUAGAAACGAGAAUAUAGCUCAUAUGUGUUAUAGUUUUAAGGUGGUUCCGUAUUGCGUGAGAUAGGUUCAAGCUAAAGAUAACAUGAGACUUAUUAUAGUUUAAGAACUUACCUAACAAUUAACAGUGAGUUUGGAGGAUACGAAGAAAAUUCUUGAGGUUUUAGUUCGAGGCUCUCCCAAAUAAGAUAAGAUCAUCAAUAUAGAGUAGAUGAGUGAUUGAGGGAGCUUGUACAUUAAUUUGUAAUCCUUAAAUAUAAUGUUAUGAUUCUGCUAGGUGUAGUAGCCUUAAUAGAACAUUUAUACAAAGGAUAAAUAGA